RNAcentral lists this ribosomal RNA (253 nucleotides) under uncultured bacterium. RNAcentral describes it as "partial 16S ribosomal RNA". It matches the Rfam family "Bacterial small subunit ribosomal RNA", at positions 524 to 776 of the family's 1533-position model. The record is from RNAcentral.
UACGUAGGCAGCAAGCGUUGUUCGGAGUUACUGGGCGUAAAGGGUGUGUAGGCGGUUGCUUAAGUUUGGUGUGAAAUCUCCCGGCUCAACUGGGAGGGUGCGCCAAAUACUGAGUGACUCGAGUGCGGGAGAGGAAAGUGGAAUUCCAGGUGUAGCGGUGAAAUGCGUAGAUAUCUGGAGGAACACCGGUGGUGUAGACGGCUUUCUGGACCGUAACUGACGCUGAGACACGAAAGCGUGGGUAGCAAACAGG